UUUAGAGAAUCCCUGAGCAAGUUAAUAAAGCCCCAAAUUAGCAUUCAGGAGGAGCUAGUGCACAAUAAUAUAACUGUAUAAAGA
Long non-coding RNA from Sinocyclocheilus rhinocerous, 84 nucleotides. RefSeq lists it as uncharacterized. NCBI's taxonomy places the organism in Eukaryota, Metazoa, Chordata, Actinopteri, Cypriniformes, Cyprinidae. The transcript has 3 exons. The record is from RefSeq and is a predicted model, not a curated record.